AUAGGAUUGGAUCGCAUUCUGGGGCCCAAGAUAUACCUCAUUGUCAAGCCUUGCCAUCCACACAAUGCCAUAUACAUGAAAGCAAAUAUCCACAGGUCCGAUCGGCCGAAAUAAUGUAGAAUCUGAACUCCUAUAGUUGUGGCCAGUGAUUAAGGGAUCAUAGGAAAAAAAUAAAAAAAAUCCAGGAAUGGAUGGCUGGAGAGGGAGCCAGGCUGGGGCUGAUAGAGAUGGAGAAAUCUCCUCCUUAUCCUUGAGCUUGGAUGGAACUCAUGUUGCAUGGGCCAUUACUAUGGCUUUAAUUUGAAUGGAAAGGCAAGGCUU
RNAcentral lists this long non-coding RNA (321 nucleotides) under Elaeis guineensis (African oil palm). Its description in RNAcentral is "long non-coding RNA (EGUI_LNC026917)". Lineage: Eukaryota; Viridiplantae; Streptophyta; Magnoliopsida; Arecales; Arecaceae. The record is from RNAcentral.